GAGAUUGUUGUUCAAUUUUUCAAAGAACCGCCCUGUCAAGGCGGAAGUUGCGGGUUCAAGUUCCGUUAGUCCCG
Molecule: transfer RNA, 74 nt
Organism: Gossypium arboreum
Lineage: Eukaryota; Viridiplantae; Streptophyta; Magnoliopsida; Malvales; Malvaceae
Rfam family: tRNA
About the family: Transfer RNA (tRNA) molecules are approximately 80 nucleotides in length. Their secondary structure includes four short double-helical elements and three loops (D, anti-codon, and T loops).
Source: Rfam